AAAAAGAUAAGCUAAAUUUAAGCUAAUGGGUUCAUACCCCAUAAAUGAGAACAUUCUCUCUUUUUA
RNAcentral lists this transfer RNA (66 nucleotides) under Scyra compressipes. RNAcentral describes it as "tRNA-Met". Lineage: Eukaryota; Metazoa; Arthropoda; Malacostraca; Decapoda; Pisidae. The record is from RNAcentral.